Molecule: ribosomal RNA, 467 nt
Filed under: uncultured bacterium
Lineage: Bacteria
Description: partial 16S ribosomal RNA
Rfam family: Bacterial small subunit ribosomal RNA
Source: RNAcentral
GACGAACGCUGGCGGCGUGCUUAACACAUGCAAGUCGAACGGAAAGGCCCUGCUUUUGUGGGGUGCUCGAGUGGCGAACGGGUGAGUAACACGUGAGUAACCUGCCCUUGACUUUGGGAUAACUUCAGGAAACUGGGGCUAAUACCGGAUAGGAGCUCCUGCUGCAUGGUGGGGGUUGGAAAGUUUCGGCGGUUGGGGAUGGACUCGCGGCUUAUCAGCUUGUUGGUGGGGUAGUGGCUUACCAAGGCUUUGACGGGUAGCCGGCCUGAGAGGGUGACCGGGCACAUGGGGACUGAGGUACGGCCCAGACUCCUACGGGAGGCAGCAGUGGGGAAUAUUGCACAAGGGGCGGAAGCCUGAUGCAGCAACGCCGCGUGCGGGAUGACGGCCUUCGGGUUGUAAACCGCUUUCGCCUGUGACGAAGCGUGAGUGACGGUAAUGGGGAAAGAAGCACCGGCUAACUACGU